AGAGUUUGAUCAUGGCUCAGAAUCAACGCUGGCGGCGUGCCUAACACAUGCAAGUCGAACGAGACCUUCGGGUCUAGUGGCGCACGGGUGCGUAACGCGUGGGAAUCUGCCCUCUGGUACGGAAUAACUCAGGGAAACUUGAGCUAAUACCGUAUAAUGACUUCGGUCCAAAGAUUUAUCGCCUGAGGAUGAGCCCGCGUAGGAUUAGCUUGUUGGUGAGGUAAAGGCUCACCAAGGCGACGAUCCUUAGCUGGUCUGAGAGGAUGAUCAGCCACACUGGGACUGAGACACGGCCCAGACUCCUACGGGAGGCAGCAGUGGGGAAUAUUGGACAAUGGGCGAAAGCCUGAUCCAGCAAUGCCGCGUGAGUGAUGAAGGCCUUAGGGUUGUAAAGCUCUUUUACCCGGGAUGAUAAUGACAGUACCGGGAGAAUAAGCCCCGGCUAACUCCGUGCCAGCAGCCGCGGUAAUAC
This 472-nucleotide ribosomal RNA is filed under the name uncultured bacterium. RNAcentral describes it as "bacterial SSU rRNA". It matches the Rfam family "Bacterial small subunit ribosomal RNA", at positions 8 to 526 of the family's 1533-position model. The record is from RNAcentral.